RNAcentral lists this ribosomal RNA (180 nucleotides) under uncultured Glomeromycotina. RNAcentral describes it as "partial small subunit ribosomal RNA". The record is from RNAcentral. Lineage: Eukaryota; Fungi; Glomeromycota.
GGGUCAGUAGAUUGGUCGUGCCACUGGUAUGCACUGGUCUUACUGGCUCCUCCUUCCUGAUGAACCGUAAUGCCAUUAAUUUGGUGUUGCGGGGAGACUGGACUGUUACUUUGAAAAAAUUAGAGUGUUCAAAGCAGGCCUUUGCCCGAAUACAUUAGCAUGGCAUAAUAAAAUAGGACG